RNAcentral lists this transfer RNA (65 nucleotides) under Epeus alboguttatus. RNAcentral describes it as "tRNA-Gly". The record is from RNAcentral. Lineage: Eukaryota; Metazoa; Arthropoda; Arachnida; Araneae; Salticidae.
AAUAUAAUAGUAUUAUUACAUUUGAUUUCCAAUCAAAAGUAAAGAUAAUAUUUUUGAUUAGAUUA